GGGCGAUUAACUCAGCGGGAGAGUGCCACCUUCACACGGUGGAAGUCAUCGGUUCAAAUCCGAUAUCGCCCACCA
RNAcentral lists this transfer RNA (75 nucleotides) under Deltaproteobacteria bacterium. RNAcentral's name for it is "tRNA-Val". It matches the Rfam family "tRNA". From Rfam's summary of the family: Transfer RNA (tRNA) molecules are approximately 80 nucleotides in length. Their secondary structure includes four short double-helical elements and three loops (D, anti-codon, and T loops). Lineage: Bacteria; Pseudomonadati; Myxococcota; Myxococcia. The record is from RNAcentral.